GGCCGGUCCAAAGGUAGUGAGUUAUCUCACUUGAUUGUUCACAGUCAGUUACAGAUUGAACUCCUUAUUCUACUACUUUUGCCCCUCCUCACUACUGCACUUGACUAGUCUUAA
RNAcentral lists this Y RNA (114 nucleotides) under Propithecus coquereli (Coquerel's sifaka). Its description in RNAcentral is "Y RNA (ENSPCOG00000007519.1)". It matches the Rfam family "Y RNA". Rfam says of the family: Y RNAs are components of the Ro ribonucleoprotein particle (Ro RNP), in association with Ro60 and La proteins. The Y RNAs and Ro60 and La proteins are well conserved, but the function of the Ro RNP is not known. The record is from Rfam by way of RNAcentral. Lineage: Eukaryota; Metazoa; Chordata; Mammalia; Primates; Indriidae.